CUAUUCUGAGGUGUUCUGCUUGAUCUUCCUUGCUCUUAGAGUAUACCAAAAUAUCGUCCAUAAACACAAUAAUAAAGGUAUCCAGGAAUGGCUUGAAAACUCUGUUCAUGAGGUCCAUGAAUGCAACUGGAGCAUUUGUCAACCCGAAGGACAUCAUUAGAAAUUCAUAGUGCCCGUAGCGAGUUCUAAAUGUUGUUUUAGAUAUAUCCUUUGUUCUGAUUCUCAACUGAUGGUAUCCCGACUUCAAGUCUAUUUUUGAAAAGUACUUUGCACCCUGAAGUUGAUCAAAUAAAUCAUCAAUUCUUGACAGUGGGUACUUGUUCUUAAUGGUAACUUUAUUCAACUGCCGAUAGUCGACACACAUUCUGGGAGACCCAUCUUUCUUUUUGACAAACAGGACGGGGGCACCCCAUGGUGUGACAUACUUGUUCUUAAUGGUAACUUUAUUCAAUUGCUGAUAGUCGACACACAUUCUGAGAGACCCAUCCUUCUUGAGAAACAGGAUCGGGGCACCCCACGGUGAAACACUCGGCCUGAUGAAGCCCUUGUUAAGAAGGUCUUUCAGCUGUUCAGUCAACUCAUUAAGUUCUGCUGGAGCCAUCCUAUAAGGAGGUAUAUAUAUGGGCUGAGUGCCUGGCAUGAGAUCAAUACCAUAGUCUAUGAUUCUUUCGGGAGGAAUUCCGGGAAGGUCAUCCGGGAAAACUUUUGGAAAUUCUCUAACAACUGGCACUGACUAAAGAGCUGGUGGUUCUGAUUCUGGAUUAAUGAUGUGAGCCAAAUAGGCGAGAUACCCCUUACCGAUCAUCCGAUGUGCCUUAAGGUAAGAAAUAAACUUACCUACAAGAGAUG
This 849-nucleotide long non-coding RNA is filed under the name Nicotiana benthamiana. Its description in RNAcentral is "long non-coding RNA (NBEN_LNC021684)". Lineage: Eukaryota; Viridiplantae; Streptophyta; Magnoliopsida; Solanales; Solanaceae. The record is from RNAcentral.